Molecule: ribosomal RNA, 440 nt
Filed under: uncultured bacterium
Lineage: Bacteria
Description: partial 16S ribosomal RNA
Rfam family: Bacterial small subunit ribosomal RNA
Source: RNAcentral
CCUACGGGAGGCAGCAGUAGGGAAUAUUGCUCAAUGGGGGAAACUCUGACGCAGCAACGCCGCGUGGAGGAUGAAGGUUUUCGGAUUGUAAACUCCUUUUGUUAGAGAAGAUAAUGACGGUAUCUAACGAAUAAGCACCGGCUAACUUCGUGCCAGCAGCCGCGGUAAUACGGAGGGUGCAAGCGGUACUCGGAAUCACUGGGCGUAAAGAGCGCGUAGGCGGGAUAGUAAGUCAGAUGUGAAAUCCUAUGGCUUAACCAUAGAACUGCAUUUGAAACUGUUAUUCUAGAGUAUAGGAGAGGUAGGUGGAAUUCUUGGUGUAGGGGUAGAAUCCGUAGAGAUCGAGAGGAAUACUAAUUGCGAAGGCGACCUGCUAGAACAUAACUGACGCUGAUGCGCGAAAGCGUGGGGAGCAAACAGGAUUAGAUACCCGAGUAGUC